GCACCUUUCAGCCCUCACCACCAUGCUGCAAUCCGCUCCCGGCUCCCAAUCGGGGAGAAACUUGGGUGCGCCGUUGUAUGAUGUGGAAGGGAGAUGUGAAGGGGCAAUAUGCUUCGAGAGAAAACCAUAGUGUGCCGCAAAAUUCUACAUCCAGCGGCUGUGCCAUCUGAACUGGAUCCACUCACUACACCAUGAACUGGAUCCAUCUGUAUUAGCGACGGCGCCAUCUAAACUGGAUCCACUGGCGGACAGCCGUCUAAGCCGGUUGUGCUCUUUCUCUGCAGGAACUGCUCGCAACUGAUCUGAUCGGGAUCAGGGUCAUGGCCACAGCCACGGGGAUAAGGCCAUGAAGAUGCCACUUCCGUUCCAGGAGUGAAUAGCACUUUUCCCGACGACGCGCCCUGUCUCAGUACGGGAUGUGCACGGGUGCAAAGGUCUUGUACGAGUGCUUCAACAAAUCGUCCACGUAGCUCGGUUGCCAUUUUUUCUGUUUUUGUAUUUAUUCACGUUUUAUUUAGAUUUAAGCAACAUAUUGCAUAAAUUAAUAAUUUCCUGUGUGAGGUGCGGUGUUGAGAGUGUGCUGGGGAGUGCUUCGAGUGCUGGAGACUCCUUUCCAGAGCUAAAUUUGAAUAAAAAUGUUGCUUCGUCGCCUACAGAAAAUUCAGCAGGUCGAAGUGCUGCUACCGUUAUGGAGAGCAAGUGUGCUUUAUCUUUGUGCAUAUGUGAGGCACCAACACCAGAACCUGCACCUAAGAAUGUCGAUUACAGUACGAUCAAUUAAAUCAGAACCUGCACCUGAGAAGAAUAUCAGUGUCGCUUCCUUGACUACAAAUUAAAUUCAAAUCCAAAUGAAUCUUCUAUCAAUCAAUAUUCAGCUGAAUUAAGCACCAAGAAGUCUUCAGCUACUUCAGCAGCAACUCAAGGUUUGGUGAACUUCACUUUUGUACAUUGUUAAUAGGAAUAUCUAACCUGUUGUCAUAUUCCUAUCUACUAAUCUUCAUAGUAUCCUGUGAAGUUAAGUGAUCAACUUUGUUCUACAAAAUUUCACAUUUUAGUUAUUUCACAUCUGUAAUAGGAAGGUUAGAUAUGUGACUUUGUUCCACAAGUUAUAUACUCCCUCCCAUUCAUAUUAAUUAUCGCUAAUUUGGAUAUAUCUCUUGGUCAUUAUGUUACUGACACUACUUCUACUCUUUUGUUAGGAAGGUUAAAUAUGUGCAUUAAGCAUAAACUUUAAAUUAUAACUGAUAUUUUUUAUCUCUUUGUGGAUGCAUUAAUAUUGUUGUUCCAACUCAUUCUUAAAUCUGGCAAACGAGAAACGAUAUUUGUUAUAAGACUCCUUAUAUGAAGUUAUUGGAAGGUAAUCUUAGAAAUAGCUCAAUAGUUCUCCCUUUCGAUUUAUUUGUCCAAUCCAUCAGGUACAUCAAAUAUUUCUAUCAUGUAGGAGUUUCCUGUUAAAAAUUUAUUUAUUUAUAGGGACCGAGAGAAGCAAAUAAAAGUGGGGACUAAAGUUGUGAAAAAACUUCUUAGUCAGAUACCUUUCUAUCUUUUGUCUUUGUUUUGUAUUUAUCGACUUGAUUCUUGCAGUAAAUAUUGGGCAGGGAGUAUAUUCUAACUACCGUGACAAGGAAAGAUUUACUUUUCUGCAUUUGGUAUUUGGUAUAUUUCAAUAAUUCCCUGUUAAGUUGCAUAAAUGUUUUCUUAUUAUUUUUAUGGUUGUGCAAGAGAAACAUCAUUUGCAGUAUAAAGGAUAGCACAGCAAUGCACUAGGAUGAUAUACAAUGAAAUAUCCAAACAUACACAAAAAUCAAUUGGUCUACUUUUUGAGUUGUUGCUUCUGUAUGUGCCAAAUACAUAUGCAUUCGUCCCUAUAAUAUAAGAAGUCCUUUGAAUGCAAAGCUGAUUACAUAUUCGUGUUUAUUUGCAAGCAACUUUGUGUGGUUUGGAAGAUCGUACUACUCAGCACAUACAUGUCAAAUCAAAAUGAGCAAAUCUCCAUCUAAUGAAGCAUGUAUUGCAGGCUGACUUAUUUAACCAGACCGAGAUUACACUUCUCAUGGAUAUUGGAGUAAAUAUCCAAUACAUAGUUAAGUUUUUUACUAUAUGAGCCCAUUUUGUCAUGGAUUUAAUUGCUUAUUUCAUUUGCUCAAAUACUAUACAACGACAUGUUCUUGAAGUUCAAUUCGUUAUAUUUUUUAAGUUUCCUAUGCUAUUCUUAAAUUACGAGCACUUAUUGGUGACUUUGAUGUUUGUAAUGAUUUUGUAUCCUCUCAAAUUGUAUAAGUUGUGUUAGAAGAAUAGCCUAUGUGAAAAAAUGAAGUUUGCUAAACUGUUUAUAUUUUCUAAAUAUCUAAGUAUUUUAACGACUUGCAUGUUUAUGUGUAUCAGUGUAUGUAAAGUUUCGUGAAUUCCCUAUGAACAUGCAACAUUUUGAGUUACUAUCAAUUGUAGCUGAUGUUUUAUUCACUGGGUAGGACAAGUUUGAGCGAACACAUAACAUUUGAUUAAAAUUUAAGUUUUAAGGUAACAAAUGUAAGAAUUAAUCAUAUCAUAAAGGAUUAUGGAAGAUACAAGACAUGUCUCUUCAUAAUAUUUAGUCAUGCUUCAUUUAUUAGUCCUAUAUCAUUUGGAAUUUACCAAAUUAAUUCAUGGUAUAAUUUUGCGCCUUCAACAAAUGUAUUGUUAGGAGAAUUUCUCAUAUACUCUACUACUUGGUAUUUAGUGUUUAUUUGAAAUCAUUCUAUGUUUAAAUCAACUAUCGAGAAACUAUCACUUAAAAUAAAUGCAACUUUAAUCUCUAUGUUUGUGUCUAUCAUCAAAAUGGACGGGCGCGGCAACGCGCGCUGUUAUGG
This is a long non-coding RNA of Lolium rigidum, 2849 nucleotides long. RefSeq lists it as uncharacterized. The transcript is spliced from 3 exons. The record is from RefSeq and is a predicted model, not a curated record. Lineage: Eukaryota; Viridiplantae; Streptophyta; Magnoliopsida; Poales; Poaceae.